RNAcentral lists this ribosomal RNA (122 nucleotides) under Saimiri boliviensis boliviensis (Bolivian squirrel monkey). Lineage: Eukaryota; Metazoa; Chordata; Mammalia; Primates; Cebidae. The record is from RNAcentral.
GUCUACGGCCAUACCACCCUGAAUGCUCCCGAUCUCAUCUGAUCUCAGAAGCUAAGCAGGGUCAGGCCUGGUUAGUACCUGAAUGGGAGAAAGAAAGAAAGGAAGGAAAGAAGUUAUAGCUA